This 492-nucleotide ribosomal RNA is filed under the name uncultured bacterium. Its description in RNAcentral is "partial 16S ribosomal RNA". It matches the Rfam family "Bacterial small subunit ribosomal RNA", at positions 29 to 507 of the family's 1533-position model. The record is from RNAcentral.
AGUGAACGCUGGCGGUAGGCCUAACACAUGCAAGUCGAACGGCAGCACAGUAAGAGCUUGCUCUUACGGGUGGCGAGUGGCGGACGGGUGAGGAAUACAUCGGAAUCUACUUUUUCGUGGGGGAUAACGUAGGGAAACUUACGCUAAUACCGCAUACGACCUACGGGUGAAAGCAGGGGAGCUUCGGACCUUGCGCGAUUGAAUGAGCCGAUGUCGGAUUAGCUAGUUGGCGGGGUAAAGGCCCACCAAGGCGACGAUCCGUAGCUGGUCUGAGAGGAUGGUCAGCGACACUGGAGCUGAGCCACGGUCCAGACUCCUACGGGAGGCAGCAGUGGGGAAUAUUGGACAAUGGGCGCAAGCCUGAUCCAGCCAUACCGCGUGGGUGAAGAAGGCCUUCGGGUUGUAAAGCCCUUUUGUUGGGAAAGAAAAGCAGCAGGUUAAUACCCCGCUGUUCUGACGGUACCCAAAGAAUAAGCACCGGCUAACUUCGUG